RNAcentral lists this ribosomal RNA (301 nucleotides) under uncultured bacterium. Its description in RNAcentral is "partial 16S ribosomal RNA". It matches the Rfam family "Bacterial small subunit ribosomal RNA", at positions 509 to 807 of the family's 1533-position model. The record is from RNAcentral.
CAGUAGCCGCGGGAAUACAGAGGGUGCAAGCGUUAAUCGGAAUUACUGGGCGUAAAGCGCGCGUAGGAGGCUUUUUAAGUCGGAUGUGAAAUCCCUGAGCUUAACUUAGGAAUUGCAUUCGAUACUGGGAAGCUAGAGUAUGGGAGAGGAUGGUAGAAUUCCAGGUGUAGCGGUGAAAUGCGUAGAGAUCUGGAGGAAUACCGAUGGCGAAGGCAGCCAUCUGGCCUAAUACUGACGCUGAGGUACGAAAGCAUGGGGAGCAAACAGGAUUAGAUACCCCCGUAGUCCCUGUCUCUUAUAC